GAACGCUGGCGGCGUGCUUAACACAUGCAAGUCGAACGGAAAGGCCCUGCUUUUGUGGGGUGCUCGAGUGGCGAACGGGUGAGUAACACGUGAGUAACCUGCCCUUGACUUUGGGAUAACUUCAGGAAACUGGGGCUAAUACCGGAUAGGAGCUCCUGCUGCAUGGUGGGGGUUGGAAAGUUUCGGCGGUUGGGGAUGGACUCGCGGCUUAUCAGCUUGUUGGUGGGGUAGUGGCUUACCAAGGCUUUGACGGGUAGCCGGCCUGAGAGGGUGACCGGCCACAUUGGGACUGAGAUACGGCCCAGACUCCUACGUGAGGCAGCAGUGGGGAAUAUUGCACAAUGGGCGGAAGCCUGAUGCAGCAACGCCGCGUGCGGGAUGACGGCCUUCGGGUUGUAAACCGCUUUCGCCUGUGACGAAGCGUGAGUGACGGUAAUGGGUAAAGAAGCACCGGCUAACUACGUGCCAGCAGCCGCGGUGAUACGUAGGGUGCGAGCGUUGUCCGGAUUUAUUGGGCGUAAAGGGCUCGUAGGUGGUUGAUCGCGUCGGAAGUGUAAUCUUGGGGCUUAACCCUGAGCGUGCUUUCGAUACGGGUUGACUUGAGGAAGGUAGGGGAGAAUGGAAUUCCUGGUGGAGCGGUGGAAUGCGCAGAUAUCAGGAGGAACACCAGUGGCGAAGGCGGUUCUCUGGGCCUUUCCUGACGCUGAGGAGCGAAAGCGUGGGGAGCGAACAGGCUUAGAUACCCUGGUAGUCCACGCUGUAAACGGUGGGUACUAGGUGUGGGGUCCAUUCCACGGGUUCCGUGCCGUAGCUAACGCUUUAAGUACCCCGCCUGGGGAGUACGGCCGCAAGGCUAAAACUCAAAGGAAUUGACGGGGCCCCGCACAAGCGGCGGAGCAUGCGGAUUAAUUCGAUGCAACGCGUAGAACCUUACCUGGGUUUGACAUGGAUCGGGAGUGCUCAGAGAUGGGUGUGCCUCUUUUGGGGUCGGUUCACAGGUGGUGCAUGGCUGUCGUCAGCUCGUGUCGUGAGAUGUUGGGUUAAGUCCCGCAACGAGCGCAACCCUUGUUCACUGUUGCCAGCACGUUAUGGUGGGGACUCAGUGGAGACCGCCGGGGUCAACUCGGAGGAAGGUGGGGAUGACGUCAAGUCAUCAUGCCCCUUAUGUCCAGGGCUUCACGCAUGCUACAAUGGCUGGUACAGAGAGUGGCGAGCCUGUGAGGGUGAGCGAAUCUCGGAAAGCCGGUCUCAGUUCGGAUUGGGGUCUGCAACUCGACCUCAUGAAGUCGGAGUCGCUAGUAAUCGCAGAUCAGCAACGCUGCGGUGAAUACGUUCCCGGGGCUUGUACACACCGCCCGUCAAGUCAUGAAAGUUGGUAACACCCGAAGCCGGUGGCCUAACCGUUGUGGGGGAGCCGUCGAAGGUGGGACUGGUGAU
This 1437-nucleotide ribosomal RNA is filed under the name uncultured organism. RNAcentral's name for it is "16S ribosomal RNA". It matches the Rfam family "Bacterial small subunit ribosomal RNA". The record is from RNAcentral.